RNAcentral lists this ribosomal RNA (504 nucleotides) under uncultured bacterium. Its description in RNAcentral is "partial 16S ribosomal RNA". It matches the Rfam family "Bacterial small subunit ribosomal RNA", at positions 30 to 523 of the family's 1533-position model. The record is from RNAcentral.
AUUGAACGCUGGCGGCAGGCCUAACACAUGCAAGUCGAACGGUAGCACAGAGAGCUUGCUCUCGGGUGACGAGUGGCGGACGGGUGAGUAAUGUCUGGGAAACUGCCCGAUGGAGGGGGAUAACUACUGGAAACGGUAGCUAAUACCGCAUAACGUCGCAAGACCAAAGUGGGGGACCUUCGGGCCUCACACCAUCGGAUGUGCCCAGAUGGGAUUAGCUAGUAGGUGGGGUAAUGGCUCACCUAGGCGACGAUCCCUAGCUGGUCUGAGAGGAUGACCAGCCACACUGGAACUGAGACACGGUCCAGACUCCUACGGGAGUCAGCAGUGGGGAAUAUUGCACAAUGGGCGCAAGCCUGAUGCAGCCAUGCCGCGUGUAUGAAGAAGGCCUUCGGGUUGUAAAGUACUUUCAGCGGGGAGGAAGGCGGUGAAGUUAAUAACUUCACCGAUUGACGUUACCCGCAGAAGAAGCACCGGCUAACUUCGUGCCAGCCGCCGCCGUAA